This is a small nuclear RNA of Sapajus apella (tufted capuchin), 107 nucleotides long. Lineage: Eukaryota; Metazoa; Chordata; Mammalia; Primates; Cebidae. The record is from RefSeq and is a predicted model, not a curated record.
GUGCUCACCUUGGCAGCACAUAUAUUAAAAUUGGAACGAUACAGAGAAGAUUAGCAAGGCCCUUGCACAAGGAUGACAUGCAAAUUCGAGAAGUGUUUCAUAUUUUU